GAUGAACGCUGGCGGCGUGCCUAAUACAUGCAAGUCGAACGCACAGCGAAAGGUGCUUGCACCUUUCAAGUGAGUGGCGAACGGGUGAGUAACACGUGGAUAACCUACCUCAAGGUUGGGGAUAACAUUUGGAAACAGAUGCUAAUACCGAAUAAAACUUAGUAUCGCAUGAUACCAGGUUAAAAGGCGCUACGGCGUCACCUAGAGAUGGAUCCGCGGUGCAUUAGUUAGUUGGUGGGGUAAAGGCUUACCAAGACAAUGAUGCAUAGCCGAGUUGAGAGACUGAUCGGCCACAUUGGGACUGAGACACGGCCCAAACUCCUACGGGAGGCUGCAGUAGGGAAUCUUCCACAAUGGGCGAAAGCCUGAUGGAGCAACGCCGCGUGUGUGAUGAAGGCUUUCGGGUCGUAAAGCACUGUUGUAUGGGAAGAACAGCUAGAGUAGGGAAUGACUUUAGUUUGACGGUACCAUACCAGAAAGGGACGGCUAAAUACGUGCCAGCAGCCGCGGUAAUACGUAUGUCCCGAGCGUUAUCCGGAUUUAUUGGGCGUAAAGCGAGCGCAGACGGUUAAUUAAGUCUGAUGUGAAAGCCCGGAGCUCAACUCCGGAAAGGCAUUGGAAACUGGUUAACAUGAGUGCAGUAGAGGUAAGUGGAACUCCAUGUGUAGCGGUGGAAUGCGUAGAUAUAUGGAAGAACACCAGCGGCGAAGGCGGCUUACUGGACUGUAACUGACGUUGAGGCUCGAAAGUGUGGGUAGCAAACAGGAUUAGAUACCCUGGUAGUCCAUACCGUAAACGAUGAACACUAGG
RNAcentral lists this ribosomal RNA (810 nucleotides) under uncultured Leuconostoc sp. RNAcentral describes it as "bacterial SSU rRNA". It matches the Rfam family "Bacterial small subunit ribosomal RNA", at positions 28 to 820 of the family's 1533-position model. Lineage: Bacteria; Bacillati; Bacillota; Bacilli; Lactobacillales; Lactobacillaceae. The record is from RNAcentral.